GGAGGGAGGUCGCUAACACACCCGUUGCUUCUGCCGGCUGGCGACACUGCAAGGAGCGAGCCAGCGAACGACGCCCGCCCAGGACUCAGAGGCGCAGCAAAUGAAUGACAUGCCAGGCAAGUAUUUGGCACUGUUGAUAGAGCGAAGAACAAAACUGCUUCAUGAAACUUAUACUCCAAGAAGGGAAACUGACCAUAAAUGAGAUAAGUCCCUUUAACAUUUCAUAUAAUAAGGGCUUGGUGAUAAUGAACUCCUUGAUCAAUGGAGUGGACCAGAAGAAAGCAAAUAAUGGCCAAACAGAAAAGAGUCAAGAAGCAAGAAUUCAAAGAAAUGAGGAGAGUCUUAGGAACCUCCAGAACAUCUUUAAACGCUCCAACAUCCGAAUUAUAGGGGCACCAGAAGGGGGAAAGGAACAGCCACCAGUGGAAAACUUAUUUGAACAAAUAAUAAAGGAGAAUUUCCCCAAUCUGGCAAAGGAAAUAGACUUCCAGGAAAUCCAGGAAGCUCAGAGAAUCCCAAAGAAGUUGGACCCAAGAAUAAACACACCAAGGCACAUCAUAAUUACAUUAGCUAAAAUAAAUCUUUUAUUUUAGAAUAAUUUACAAAAAGUACAGACAGUUUUCAAAUACCCUUCACUCAGUUUCUCCUAAUGUUAACAUCUUGCAUGAUGGUAGAACAUCUGUCAAAAUGAAGAAACUGACAUUGGUGUAUUGCUAUUAAUGAAACUGUACAGCUUUUUUUAAAAUUUCACCAGUUUUUUCCACUAAUGAUCUUUUUCUCUUCCAGGAUCCCUCGAGGAUAGUACAUUACAUUUCAUUGUCAUGUAUUUUUAGUCUCCUUGAUCUGUGACAGUUUCUGAGACUCUCCUCAUUUUUCAUGACCUUGACAGUUUUAAAGACUGCUGGUUGAGUAUUUUGUGGAAUAUUUCUCAAUUUGAAUUUGUCUGAAAUGUCAUUUUCAUUGCACCAUAACAAGGGAAACACGAUAUCAAAGUGACUAUCACCAGCCUUGAUCUUUUGGUUAAAGUAAUGUAUACCAGGUUAAUGUAGUUAUUUUUAAUUAAAAGAAAACUACCAAUACAACCUCCAGAUAUAGAAAACUUAGAUAUUUACAAAUAUGAACCUCAAAGUAUUAGAUUUUCAUUAUGACAACUGCAUAAAACAUUUAAAAAUGACUAUAUAUUUAUUCCAGUAGUA
Molecule: long non-coding RNA, 1196 nt
Organism: Artibeus jamaicensis (Jamaican fruit-eating bat)
Lineage: Eukaryota; Metazoa; Chordata; Mammalia; Chiroptera; Phyllostomidae
Exons: 3
Source: RefSeq, a predicted model, not a curated record